GUUACUGGUCAAAGUUUCGUUUGCAGUAUGGUUUACAUGGGCACCCUCAGUUCUCGUAACACUACACAGAUAUCUUUUUGCAGUUAUCGUAACACUACAUAGAUGGAUGCACUAGUUUUUGGCAAUUAUUGAUUGUAAUAAACCAUUUUAUUGCAUUUCAAUGGCAGUAAUCGGUAGCUUAUAAUUUUUUACAUCUAUUCUGAAAAUUUGGCUGCAAUCGAUUCAGGCAUUUGAUCAAACGGAGUUCUGGUUACUUUUUGACAGAAUUUCAAUAGCUGUUACAGCAGACGAUAAUACAGAGACAUGUGACAGGGAUAUAAACGUAACGUGACAAUCGACUACUAUUGUAUGAUAGAAUAGAAGUCACUGUAUGUUAUCACUGAACGCUAUCAAUCUCCAGUAAAAGAAGUGCUGAUAGGGAUUGAAAAGGAAGACGAGAUGUUUAGAUACUGACAUGGCUGUCCAUCAGACCAAAUUGGUUGUCGCCAGUUGUGACAGUUAAUGUAAAUGGAAACAGUCAUUCAGGUGAUGAAUAAUUGCAAAUAGCCUCCUUUGUUGAUUUAUGUGUGAUAGCGAUUCUUCAAAUGUUUGUUUUAUAGGGAGAACAAGAUAGAAUUGGAAAACGAAGAAUCAGCCUGGAUCACUAUUGCCCAGACCGAGGAAUGGAAUUACUGAAUGUGUAGUUCACACGAUAUAACAUGGCUUUUGUGUGCAAAUAGCUUGAGGAGAAGCAAGUUCAACCAAACCUCAACUUUGGUCACAUCUUGGUUGCGUAUGGGUUCCAGACAGAUUACAGUUUCCACAACAAAUUCAAGCCGGCUUGGGAAAGCCGGCUGCCUUGUGUUUCUGCGCCGGAACUGCUUCAUGGGAAGUUUAACCCAGAUGCAGCUUCAGCCAAUAUUCUUCAUGUAGCGCAUGCUGCCGUAGAAAAUAAGGGGUGUUGGGAUCGUUUGUAGCAACCUGGACUGAUUUGGUGGACACAGGAUCGUUACAUUUCGCUUGGCCAGGAUGGAUUUUACAGGCUUGUUUGGCUUGGAAUCAUUCCAUUCAUUAAAAUAUCUUAUGAUAUUCUCCACUCCAAGAAUCAUAUAUUCAACUGAUUAAAUUCCAGGACUACAUUUAAAAUUCGUUUUCCGAACUUUCUUCGCUGUGGGUUUUGAAUGAACCACUUGACAAAAGUUUUUCAGUCGGGGUAGUAAUUAUCGAGAUGGGGCGAUUAUAGAAACUUGGCUGUGGUAACUUGAGUUUGGUGAAUUUAAUUACUCUUAACAAAUACCUCAAUUUAUCGGUAUUUAUUUGUAGCGAACUAUUCGCCAUACAAAAACAGAAGGAGUUAAUUGUUACAGAUGGAGAAGGUCGUCAUUAUUUCAUGAAAACAAUAGCUCUUAAAGCCCUUCUCUCUGCCGAUUUCCUUCUCCUGGCUCGUCGUUUUUUGAGCGGAAUUCUUACCAUUUGGAGCAACCAAAAUAGCAAUAUGGGUGCUGCCAUCAAUUUGAGUGUCGCACUGUCGCUAACCUUACACCAACUUUCCCAACAGAUGCAGCUAACAUGCUAACAAUCUAACAGCCUUAACAGUGAGCGUUUUCAACAGUUGUGGCCUUGUGGGUACAGCAACACCCAAACCACCGAAAACCACUCGAAUGGAUUGAAUAAUAUAAUUGCAGCACUGAACACGUCGAUUCACUGGCUAACGUCGAUACAUCAGAUUAGUACUUAUUAGCAUAUUGAUGUAGAUUUUAUGAAAUCAUUCCAUCUGCAAACUGUAAUCAACUAGUAGCGCUUUCCACAUUGGAACUGAUUUCGAAGGGACACAGCAUUAUUCUUUAAUUUUGAAUCAUUGUUUUAUUUUAUAAAUGCAAAUGUGUGUUUGGAGUUUACGCCAUUUUUAUUACAAGCUAAAAAUAAAAUUAUAUUCUGGAGGUGGUUGAAUAAACUUCGCAUUUAUCGAA
Molecule: long non-coding RNA, 1949 nt
Organism: Daphnia pulicaria
Lineage: Eukaryota; Metazoa; Arthropoda; Branchiopoda; Diplostraca; Daphniidae
Exons: 5
Source: RefSeq, a predicted model, not a curated record